RNAcentral lists this ribosomal RNA (253 nucleotides) under uncultured bacterium. RNAcentral's name for it is "partial 16S ribosomal RNA". It matches the Rfam family "Bacterial small subunit ribosomal RNA", at positions 524 to 776 of the family's 1533-position model. The record is from RNAcentral. RNAcentral also lists the same sequence under 1 other name.
UACGUAGGGGGCAAGCGUUGUCCGGAUUUAUUGGGCGUAAAGAGCGUGUAGGCGGCCAGACAGGUCCGUUGUGAAAACUCGAGGCUCAACCUCGAGACGCCGAUGGAAACCGUUUGGCUAGAGUCCGGAAGAGGAGAGUGGAAUUCCUGGUGUAGCGGUGAAAUGCGCAGAUAUCAGGAAGAACACCCGUGGCUAAGGCGGCUCUCUAGUACGGUACUGACGCUGAGACGCGAAAGCGUGGGGAGCGAACAGG